RNAcentral lists this long non-coding RNA (1299 nucleotides) under Bos indicus x Bos taurus (hybrid cattle). Its description in RNAcentral is "lncRNA (ENSBIXG00000020546.1)". Lineage: Eukaryota; Metazoa; Chordata; Mammalia; Artiodactyla; Bovidae. The record is from RNAcentral.
GAGAGGAGGAGAAUUCCUCAAAAGAUAAAAGAUACGGGCAGAGAUCUCUGUCUGAGAGUGAGACCCCCGAGUUCCAGGGCGGAAAGACGGGCAACUGUCUCACCCAUAAAUUCCCACCGGGUCCUCCGAUGCGAUUCUAACUCGCCCAGCGCCCUCCCGGCCCGCGGAGCUCGCGUGUCCCCGCUCGGUGGCAGCGGCGUCUCCCAGUCCGGCACGCGGGUGCCCGCCGUGCCCCCGUCCGCAGCCCCCUGCCCCUCGGGGCGGCCGGGGAGCCCUCUUACCUUUCCGAGUCCUCCGCCGCGGGUGUGGCCGGCUCGGCGGGCGGCCCCGGGCCAGGGCCGAGGGGCGAGGGGCGGGGGCGCGGGGCUGGGGGGGGAGCAGCAGGGUGAGGGCUGGGGGUGCUGGCACGGUGCCCAGGGGGGGCGAGGGGGCAGCGGGCAGCCCCAGGGCCCGCGGGCGAACACGGCCGAGCCGGAGGAGGGGCGCGGAGAGCGGGGCCGAGGAGGGGCGCCGGGGCCCGGGGCGGGGGGCGGGGAGCUCCAGCCUGCGGGACCGGCCCGGGAGCCGGGCGAGGCGCGGAAGGGAGGCCUCGCGCUUGGGGAAGCCGAGGACCCGUCGCGCGGAUCCCUUCGGCUGACAAAUCAAUCAGGGCCAGCCGAGCCGGGGCACUGCCGCCGUCGCUGCGGGGCUCGGGACUCCCCGGCCCGGCCCGCGCCGCCAGCUGCCGGCCGCCUCGGGUCCGCACGGGCCGGCGUCGCGGGCGGGGCGGCGGUCAUCCGGCUGCGGGCGCGUGCGGCCCGGGCGGGGGCGGGGGCGGGGGCCCGCGCGGCGCCGCAUCCUGGCCUCUCCUCCCCCGCCCGCCGCCCGCCCGCGCCCGCCGCGCGCUCCCCCCGCACUGUCACUAGCUCUGGCAGUUCCGUCGGUCCGUCUCUGCCCGCCUCCCCGUGUGUCUCUCCAUCUCCCGGUCUCUGUCGCGUUUCUCUGUCUACCUUCCUCUCCCAGUCCCUCCCGCUGUCCCCAGCUCUCUUGCUCGCGGCGCCUGUUUUCUCUGCCUCCGUGGUGCUGAUUCUCUUACCCUCUCUCCUCGGUCGUUCUCACCAUUAUCACCCACACUCUCUUCUUUCUUUCUGCCUCCCCUCACUCUCCACCCCUCCUUGCUCCCGAUGCUCAGGAGGACUAUGUAUCUCUCCCGCCUUGAAGCAGCAGCCCCAGCCUCGGAAUCAGAACUUAGUCCAUUUCUCUACUCUGAGACCUCGGACCAGUCACUUCCUCCCUCCCAGCUGCAGUUUCCGUGUCUGA